CUCAUUCGGCUGUGUGUCAGCGGUUGGUCUGGCUGGUUUUGCCUUGGACUCUACUCUGGAUCUGUUGUGGUCUGCUGGCUGUGGCCGGGCUGGCCUGCGUCUCAUGUUCAGCUUAAGUGAGCUGAUUUUGUCUGCUCCCUGGAUGGUAUCAUCUGGCUGUGUCUCCUUCCUCCCUGCAUGAGGGGGAGCUUGUCACCUGGCAUAGAGGUUGACUGUGCGCUGCAGCGUGUC
Molecule: long non-coding RNA, 231 nt
Organism: Melanotaenia boesemani (Boeseman's rainbowfish)
Lineage: Eukaryota; Metazoa; Chordata; Actinopteri; Atheriniformes; Melanotaeniidae
Exons: 3
Source: RefSeq, a predicted model, not a curated record